CUCUAAAUAACCUACGUAAUAUAAAUGAGAAUACAUACCAAUGAGUAUUUGUACCACCAGUUGAAUACAUGGCCCCAUCAUGAUGGAUAGAUGACUUGUGCGUUUGAGUUUUUUCCUUUAAGAACUCUGUCACCAAACUUGUAAGAUGUGCAAUUUGCUUCUGUUCUUCCUCUCGCUCUUUCCUUUCCUCCUCACGCUCUCUCCUCUC
RNAcentral lists this long non-coding RNA (208 nucleotides) under Phoenix dactylifera (date palm). RNAcentral's name for it is "long non-coding RNA (PDAC_LNC007719)". The record is from RNAcentral. Lineage: Eukaryota; Viridiplantae; Streptophyta; Magnoliopsida; Arecales; Arecaceae.